Ananas comosus (pineapple) is the source of this 836-nucleotide long non-coding RNA. RefSeq lists it as uncharacterized. The record is from RefSeq and is a predicted model, not a curated record. The transcript is spliced from 2 exons. NCBI's taxonomy places the organism in Eukaryota, Viridiplantae, Streptophyta, Magnoliopsida, Poales, Bromeliaceae.
UUCCACUAGCCCUGAGUACGAGCACCUGCGUAGAUGGUCUCAUCAGCAAAUGAUGGAUGUAGUCGAAUCUAGAGUCAGUUCAUUCAGUUCAUUUGGCUCGGAUAGAGCUUCUACGAAAGUGCUUCUCCCAGCUGAUGCUUUUCUACUGAAGAAGUUGUUCUAAAAGCUAGAUCAAACAAGCGUUGAACAAUAGAUGGCCGAGCACUUACGGUGACGAUGUUGAAUGCGUAGUGAUCUGCUCCAACAGCUAGCACUGCAAUGAGAUGUCUCACCAGUAACAGGAUUGUGAACUGCAGACAUUUUGAUAACAAUCACAAACACGGGAUCUAAUCAGCACAUGAGAAAUAUGGGAUUGUUGUGUAAUGUUUUUAGAAAAACAGUUCUCUUUGGUGUUCUUUUGAUGUGUAACUAAGCUGCUUACCGCGACCGCAACCGAUCGACAACAAGAAGCACUUCUCUCAGCUGCAGAAGCACACUCGGCAUAAUAAGAGGUGGCUACACCGUCCGCGACACCGUCGGAUCCUGUGCCUUGAGGUUCAUAGUUGAGCCUGGGAAUCUCCAAGCUUCCUCUGUUGCAAAAAAUGUUAUUAAUUAGCUCAUGUUAUUUUCUGUCAUUUUCUUUUUGCAGCUUCAAACUAACUUUUUCUUUUCUUUUUUUUUUUUGAGAAAUAGGUAGCACGCUACCCGCUUCGUUUUAUUUCAUUUAGAAAUAAAUUUAGCUGGAAAUGUAAAUCAACUAGGAUUCGAACUUGGGUCUCCUAAGGAUAUAGUUUUGUUUAAGAAAUUUAGACAUGACAAGGGUGCAUAUGUAAAUGAGAAUUAUACAGGUUUUUAUA